GCCCUCAGAAGAAUGGAUCCAUCCUGGGAGCAACGAAAGCUUCUUUCCUUAGUGGGAGGAAACUGAGAGUAAGCCAGUACACUUCUCCUCCUGCUGGAGCACGAUCACUGACCAUCUGUGCUGCAGCUGCUGACCUCGAGAGACCCAUCUGGUUCCCCGGCAGCACACCACCCCCAUGGCUUGAUGGCAGGUUUGAUGGAAAGCAUAUAUGUAUAUAUAUUUUCAUCAUCCUGCUCCUGCAGCCUAUGAAUAGUUUGCAGUGUUCUAAUAAUUAUAUUCUUAUAAACACUGUGAUGCAGCCUCCCAGGAGACUUUGGCUUUGAUCCUCUGGGUCUGGGUAAGUCAUUCUCCAUUCUCCUGCGACUGAAUUAAGUGGUUCUUUUGCUUGGAAAGCAAGACUCGCUUUUUCCCCCAUUACUUAAAAUACGUUCAAGGGCUUGUUGACAGGAUCUGACCCAGAGACCUUGAGGUGGAAUGUGCAGUCGGAGAUCGUGCAUUGCAGAUGGGCCAUGUUGGGUGCAGCGGGUAUUUUUAUCCCUGAAUUCUUGACAAAGAUUGGGAUCCUGAAUACGCCAUCAUGGUACUCUGCUGGAGAACUAGAAUACUUCACCGACACCACAACACUCUUCGUCGUUGAGAUGAUCCUCAUCGGUUGGGCCGAGGGAAGACGGUGGGCGGACAUCAUCAAGCCUGGAUGUGUGAACACUGACCCCAUCUUCCCAAACAACAAGCUUACUGGAACUGAUGUUGGCUACCCAGGCGGCCUGUGGUUUGACCCUCUUGGCUGGGGAACCGGCUCUCCUGAGAAAGUCAAGGAAUUGAGGACAAAAGAGAUCAAGAAUGGGAGGUUGGCGAUGUUGGCUGUAAUGGGUGCAUGGUUCCAACACAUCUACACUGGUACAGGACCAAUUGACAACCUCUUUG
RNAcentral lists this long non-coding RNA (924 nucleotides) under Coffea arabica (coffee). RNAcentral describes it as "long non-coding RNA (CARA_LNC007657)". The record is from RNAcentral. Lineage: Eukaryota; Viridiplantae; Streptophyta; Magnoliopsida; Gentianales; Rubiaceae.